UACAGAGGUGGCAAGCGUUGUUCGGAAUUACUGGGCGUAAAGGGCGCGUAGGCGGUCUUGUCAGUCCCUUGUGAAAUCCCCCGGCUCAACUGGGGAACUGCACGGGAAACAGCAGGGCUUGAGUUCGGGAGAGGGAAGCGGAAUUCCGGGUGUAGCGGUGAAAUGCGUAGAUAUCGGGAGGAACACCGGUGGCGAAGGCGGUUCUCUGGGCCUUACCUGACGCUGAGGAGCGAAAGCGUGGGGAGCGAACAGG
RNAcentral lists this ribosomal RNA (253 nucleotides) under uncultured bacterium. RNAcentral's name for it is "partial 16S ribosomal RNA". It matches the Rfam family "Bacterial small subunit ribosomal RNA", at positions 524 to 776 of the family's 1533-position model. The record is from RNAcentral.